CAUCUGAGCCAUCCCUCCAUCCUAUGGUGGACCUAUUCUUAAACACACCUCCUACACUGUCACUCCCGCCAUGGCUUGGAUUCCUCCAAAGCAAUCCCUCUGGGAGACCAAACAUUUAUUCUAGCCAGACUGCUACUCUACUUAGGCACAGAAAAUAAUUGCCUUCAGAUCUGUCGUCCCAGAAACAAACCAAGUAAAGGCUCUGCCCUUGUGGACCACGAAGUUUAGUGGGGGAAGACUGAUGUUGGAUGCAACAUUAUAAAGAGGAAAAUAAUAGUGAAGGAGCCAGCUGAGUGUGGUUGGAGAAGGACUCUAGAAAUGAGUUAUUAAAAAAAAGUACAAAGACAUCCCAAAAGAUUUUAUCAUGUGAUAAAACUGGACGUGGAGCAAACCUAGAGCAACUCUCCAUCUGGAAGGUUCCAUCUGGGAAGGCAGUGUAACCCAGCCAUGCCUUCUGCAGGAUCUCCUGAACCUUGAGGGGAUGGACAGGCACCAGGAAUAGAAUGAGUAUAUUCUUGCCAAACCAGUUGACCUGCAUCUCCAGCUACUCACUAAUUAGGCCACCAUUUUGGACUUUGAUGUUGCAGUUUUCAAAAGCAAACACUGCUUUUGUUCAAAACCCCGAAGUAUAGCCUCAUAAUGUGCUUGCUACUCCCAGAAUCAGCUUCCCCCAUCCUUUCUAAAAUGUUAGACCAGAUAAAAAGCCCGGAGCGCCACUUUCGUCAUCGUGUAACCCUGACUCACAUACCCAGAAUAAUUCCCCACAGCCUAGAGCACAGACACCAAUCUUCUGCUUAUCAUCAAGGCCUUCAGCAAACAGAAGCCAAAUCCACUCUGAGCUUGCUGCCCCAAAAGUCCCUGCCCCACAUUAAUGGUCUCCGAACUGUCCCCCCACUGUAACUUCCGGCUCACGUCUGCUUCUUGAUUUUUGUCUGAAACAAAAUCAGUUUCCUGCUCCCUUCUGUUUGUCCACAUAUCUCCACCUUUAGAGCCCCCUCUUACAGUUUGCCAUGAAGCUAUCUCUGAUGACCCAGUGACCAAGGAUCCAGACCUAUCACUGCUGUACUGACAUGAGGCUACAGAGACCUUUUGGAGCCCAUUGUCUGCCUAAAAGAAGUCAAAGAUGAGCUGCAGAGAUGGCCCAGCUGCUAAAGCUUAGACUCACAACCAAAAAGAAGUUAAAAAAAAACAAACCCCUGUCAUUUGUUUUUUGAUUCCCUUAGGGAUUAUAGCUUGAGCUAAAUGUAUAGGAUACUUAUGACUUUCCAGCCUUUUAGGCAGGGCCAGUUUCAGCCCCCUAAAUGCUCACUAAGGGGCCGUUCAUUUGUUUAGAAUUAGAGAUAAAUCCAAAGACCCAAAUCACCUCUUUAAAGCAUUAUCUGCUCAAAAUCCUUUCAAAACCUGGACCCCCCUUCAAAGUUCUGAGUCCUCAGGACUCGUGGAGAAAAAGCCCUGUAAGACAGGACAUGUGCUAGGAAAUCCAUAAACCAUAAAUGUUAAGCUUUCUCUUUGGUUCUUGAAUAUUAUUUUUUUUUGAGACAAGGUUUCUCUGUGUAGUCCCAACUGUCCUGGAAACUCCCUCUGUAGACCAGGCUGGCCUCAAACACAGAGCUCUGCCAGCCUCUGCCUCCUGACUGCUGGGAUUAAAGGUGUGAGCCGCCGCCACCACCACCUGACUUUGAAUACUAUUAAAAGGGUUUUGAUGCAGAACUUAAA
Molecule: long non-coding RNA, 1716 nt
Organism: Mesocricetus auratus (golden hamster)
Lineage: Eukaryota; Metazoa; Chordata; Mammalia; Rodentia; Cricetidae
Exons: 3
Source: RefSeq, a predicted model, not a curated record